GACGAACGCUGGCGGCGUGCUUAACACAUGCAAGUCGAGCGGAAAGGCCCUGCUUUUGUGGGGUGCUCGAGUGGCGAACGGGUGAGUAACACGUGAGUAACCUGCCCUUGACUUUGGGAUAACUUCAGGAAACUGGGGCUAAUACCGGAUAGGAGCUCCUGCUGCAUGGUGGGGGUUGGAAAGUUUCGGCGGUUGGGGAUGGACUCGCGGCUUAUCAGCUUGUUGGUGGGGUAGUGGCUUACCAAGGCUUUGACGGGUAGCCGGCCUGAGAGGGUGACCGGCCACAUUGGGACUGAGAUACGGCCCAGACUCCUACGAGAGGCAGCAGUGGAGAAUAUUGCACAAUGGGCGGAAGCCUGAUGCAGCAACGCCGCGUGCGGGAUGACGGCCUUCGGAUUGUAAACCGCUUUCGCCUGUGACGAAGCGUGAGUGACGGUAAUGGGUAAAGAAGCACCGGCUAACUACGUG
RNAcentral lists this ribosomal RNA (468 nucleotides) under uncultured bacterium. RNAcentral's name for it is "partial 16S ribosomal RNA". It matches the Rfam family "Bacterial small subunit ribosomal RNA", at positions 28 to 507 of the family's 1533-position model. The record is from RNAcentral.